UAGGGAAUAUUAGUAAUGGGCGAAAGCCUGAACUAGCGACACCGCGCGUGCGAAGAAGGCCUUCGGGUUGUAAAGCACUUUUAGAGAGGAUGAGGAAGGACGGUACUCUCUGAAUAAGUCUCGGCUAACUACGCGCCAGCAGCCGCGGUAACACGUAGGAGGCAAACGUUAUCCGGAUUUACUGGGCGUAAAGCGCGUGUAGGUGGUUCUGUAAGUAGGGCGUGAAAGCUCCCGGCUCAACUGGGAGAGGCCGUUCUAAACUGCAGAGCUAGAGGAUGGUAGAGGGAGGUGGAAUUCCGGGUGUGGCGGUGGAAUGCGCAGAUAUCCGGAGGAACACCAGUGGCGAAGGCGACCUCCUGGGCCACUCCUGACACUCAGACGCGAAAGCUAGGGUAGCAAACGG
RNAcentral lists this ribosomal RNA (403 nucleotides) under uncultured bacterium. RNAcentral's name for it is "bacterial SSU rRNA". It matches the Rfam family "Bacterial small subunit ribosomal RNA", at positions 355 to 775 of the family's 1533-position model. The record is from RNAcentral.